Molecule: ribosomal RNA, 419 nt
Filed under: uncultured bacterium
Lineage: Bacteria
Description: bacterial SSU rRNA
Rfam family: Bacterial small subunit ribosomal RNA
Source: RNAcentral
GAAUAUUGGUCAAUGGGCGAAAGCCUGAACCAGCCAUGCCGCGUGCAGGAUGACGGCCUUCUGGGUUGUAAACUGCUUUUCUACAGGAAGAAAAAACCCUUGCGAGGGUAAUUGACGGUAUUGUAGGAAUAAGCACCGGCUAACUCCGUGCCAGCAGCCGCGGUAAUACGGAGGGUGCAAGCGUUGUCCGGAUUUAUUGGGUUUAAAGGGUACGUAGGUGGGUCUUUAAGUCCGUGGUGAAAGCCCGCAGCUUAACUGUGGAAUUGCCAUGGAUACUGGAGACCUUGAAUUCAGUUGAGGUUGGCGGAAUUUAUGGUGUAGCGGUGAAAUGCAUAGAUACCAUAAAGAACACCUAUUGCGAAGGCAGCUAACUGGACUUGAAUUGACACUGAGGUACGAAAGCGUGGGGAGCGAACAGG